RNAcentral lists this ribosomal RNA (500 nucleotides) under Paracoccus indicus. RNAcentral describes it as "bacterial SSU rRNA". It matches the Rfam family "Bacterial small subunit ribosomal RNA", at positions 52 to 598 of the family's 1533-position model. Lineage: Bacteria; Pseudomonadati; Pseudomonadota; Alphaproteobacteria; Rhodobacterales; Paracoccaceae. The record is from RNAcentral.
CACAUGCAAGUCGAGCGAGAUCUUCGGGUCUAGCGGCGGACGGGUGAGUAACGCGUGGGAACGUGCCCUUUGCUACGGAAUAGUCCUGGGAAACUGGGGGUAAUACCGUAUACGCCCUUUUGGGGAAAGAUUUAUCGGCGAAGGAUCGGCCCGCGUUGGAUUAGGUAGUUGGUGGGGUAAUGGCCUACCAAGCCGACGAUCCAUAGCUGGUUUGAGAGGAUGAUCAGCCACACUGGGACUGAGACACGGCCCAGACUCCUACGGGAGGCAGCAGUGGGGAAUCUUAGACAAUGGGGGCAACCCUGAUCUAGCCAUGCCGCGUGAGUGAUGAAGGCCUUAGGGUUGUAAAGCUCUUUCAGCUGGGAAGAUAAUGACGGUACCAGCAGAAGAAGCCCCGGCUAACUCCGUGCCAGCAGCCGCGGUAAUACGGAGGGGGCUAGCGUUGUUCGGAAUUACUGGGCGUAAAGCGCACGUAGGCGGACCAGAAAGUUGGGGGUGAA